UAAUUCGACAGCAGAAUUUGCCACGAAAACACAACUUCUUGUUUCAACAUUUAAAAAGAAAAUGAUUUGUGACUUUUUAUUGAAAACCGUGCUAUGCGUCGCGAUUUUCUUUAUACGUAUGGCGUUAGGGCAGGUUCCGCCCUUGAAACCACUUUCGGUUCACGUACUAGACACCAAUUUAGGAGGGAAUGCUCCAAAUGUGACAUGCAAACUUUAUAGGAAAGUCCCGACGAUUUCCUCAAAUGCCGAAGAGAAAUUUAAUCUUCUCGCUACUGCGGUUACUGACGCAAAUGGAAGAAUCAGUCAAUUUCUAUCGGCAGAAGAUUACGCACCUGGCGUUUAUCGCAUCUGGUUCGGAAUCGGUGACUACUAUCAGCAUUCUUACGGAUUAUCGACAUUCUUUCCCCAAACUCAAAUUACUUACGAGAACAAAGACGGCAGUGCAUCUCACGUUCCAUUGGUUGUAAGCCCUUAUGCAAUUAGUACUUACAGGGGAUCUUAAACUUAACUUCCUUUGUGAUUUGGGAAAUAAAAUUUGUAUUUUUAUUUU
Molecule: long non-coding RNA, 550 nt
Organism: Bradysia coprophila
Lineage: Eukaryota; Metazoa; Arthropoda; Insecta; Diptera; Sciaridae
Source: RefSeq, a predicted model, not a curated record